Octopus bimaculoides (California two-spot octopus) is the source of this 644-nucleotide long non-coding RNA. The record is from RefSeq and is a predicted model, not a curated record. Lineage: Eukaryota; Metazoa; Mollusca; Cephalopoda; Octopoda; Octopodidae.
CAUUCAAAUACUUAGUCCAUCCCAGAACCAUUCUGUCUGCAAUCAGCUGGUGUGCUUACCAUAAAGAGUUGUUAGAAAAAAAAAAUACUCUUGAGCACUUGCUGAAGGACUUCCGUAAAGAGCGUGUUCACCCAUAUUGGCUUCUAAACUUGGAAUUCAUUGACUUGGAGUAGUGCUUUCUCUAUCAACCACAGAAGGAUGCCAGUCACUACUACCACUACAACCAACAAAAAAUGCUCCCACGUGGACUAUUGACACCAGGUUUCUACUAUAGCCUCAGGCUGAUCGAUGUCUGGUGGGUGCAUUUUGUAGAUGGAAACUGUUAUUUCACAUGCUUUCAACAAAUGUGACAUCGAAAUCAUGUGUAAAUGGUUCCUUUCCCCAGAAAAGGAAAGAUUUGGCUGCUAUUUCUCACACACCCUGCUACCACAUAACAGGUAUUUCAAGUCCUUUAUCGCAAAUAGCUGUUACAUGGUAGCAGGUUGUACUGGAAAUAGCAGCUAAAUCUUUGGAGGUGAGAUAUGUUGAAUGCACUCGGAAAAAACCUAUGGAAAAGGUAUUUUUUCAUUGUCAAGUCACUGUGUCUAAUAGAAAGAUAAGACUUUCUUCCCUUUCAGGAUGAAGAUUAUUUUCAGAAUAUUUUC